AAUGAACGCUGGCGGCAUGCCUAACACAUGCAAGUCGAACGAGAGCACGAGAUCCUUUGUUGUCUGGUGUCGUAGGGGGUCGGAAGAGUAACACAUGUACAACAUACCUAUAAGACAGGGAUAACAUUGUUUGAUAAUAGCUCAUGCCGUAUAAUAUUUUGAACCGGGUGGGUCAAGAGUUAGAGCCGCUCGUGCGGUCGCUUACAGAUUAGUCAGGGCUGGAUCUGCUAGUUGGCAAAGUAACUGCUUACCAACGCUACGAUGGAUAGACGCCCCGAGAGGGAGAUCGGCCAGACUGGAACUGAGACACGGCCCAGACUCCUACGGGAGGAAGCAGUAGGGAAUCUUGCGCAAUGGGCGAAAGCCUGAUGGAGCAACGCCGCGUGAAGGAUGAAGGUCUUCGGAUGGUAAACUGCUGUUGUACGGAAAGAAAAUAUGCGGAUGUAUCCGUGCAGAUCAUGACGGUACCGAAAGAAUAAGCCCCGGCUAACUACGUG
This 497-nucleotide ribosomal RNA is filed under the name uncultured bacterium. Its description in RNAcentral is "partial 16S ribosomal RNA". It matches the Rfam family "Bacterial small subunit ribosomal RNA", at positions 29 to 507 of the family's 1533-position model. The record is from RNAcentral.